GUAGGGAAUCUUCCGCAAUGGACGAAAGUCUGACGGAGCAACGCCGCGUGAGUGAUGAAGGCUUUCGGGUCGUAAAACUCUGUUGUUAGGGAAGAACAUCCGGGAUGACCUCCCGGUCUGACGGUACCUAACGAGGAAGCCCCGGCUAACUACGUGCCAGCAGCCGCGGUAAUACGUAGGGGGCAAGCGUUGUCCGGAAUUAUUGGGCGUAAAGCGCGCGCAGGCGGCUUCUUAAGUCUGGUGUGAAAGCCCGCAGCUCAACUGCGGAGGGCCACUGGAAACUGGGAAGCUUGAGUGUAGGAGAGGAGAGCGGAAUUCCACGUGUAGCGGUGAAAUGCGUAGAUAUGUGGAGGAACACCCGUGGCGAAAGCGGCUCUCUGGCCUAUAACUGACGCUGAGGCGCGAAAGCGUGGGGAGCAAACAGG
RNAcentral lists this ribosomal RNA (425 nucleotides) under bacterium. RNAcentral describes it as "bacterial SSU rRNA". It matches the Rfam family "Bacterial small subunit ribosomal RNA", at positions 354 to 776 of the family's 1533-position model. The record is from RNAcentral.